CACAGGUUUGGUCCCAGCCUUUCUAUUGGUUGCUAGCAAAACUACACAUGCAAGUAUCCGCGCUCCAGUGAGGAUGCCCUACAAGUCAUAACCCUGACAAAAAGGAGUGGGUAUCAAGCACACUUACAAGUAGCUCAUAACGCCUUGCUCAACCACACCCCCACGGGAAACAGCAGUGAUAGAAUUUAAGCAAUAAACGAAAGUUUGACUAAGUUAUGCUUGCAAGGGUUGGUAAAUUUCGUGCCAGCCACCGCGGUCAUACGAUUAACCCUAAUCAAUAGAUCUACGGCGUAAAACGUGUUUAAGAACCCCAAACAACUAAAGCCAAACUCUAGCUACGCUGUAAAAAGCCCCAGCUACUGUAAGAUCCACUACGAAAGUGACUUUAGACUAACUGAACACACGACAGCUGGGAUCCAAACUGGGAUUAGAUACCCCACUAUGCCCAGCCUUAAACCUAAAGGAUUCACAUAACAAAAACCUUCGCCAGAGUACUACUAGCCAAAGCUUAAAACUCAAAGGACUUGGCGGUGCUUCACAUCCACCUAGAGGAGCCUGUUCUAUAAUCGAUAAACCCCGAUAAACCCUACCAACCCUUGCCAACUCAGCCUAUAUACCGCCAUCUUCAGCAAACCCUAAAAAGGAACUAUAGUAAGCUCAACCACAGUUCGUAAAAACGUUAGGUCAAGGUGUAGCCUAUGGGUUGGAAAGAAAUGGGCUACAUUUCCUAACACAAGGCCACCCCCUCCACACGAAAGUCUCUGUGAAAUCAGGGACCAAAGGCGGAUUUAGCAGUAAGCUAAGAAUAGAGCGCUUAGCUGAAUCAGGCCAUGAAGCACGCACACACCGCCCGUCACCCUCCUCAAAUACUAACGGUGAAUUCCAACCUUAUUAACCCACACCACAACUACUAGAGGAGACAAGUCGUAACAAGGUAAGUGUACUGGAAAGUGCGCUUGGACAAUA
RNAcentral lists this non-coding RNA (966 nucleotides) under Lophostoma schulzi (Schulz's round-eared bat). RNAcentral describes it as "12S ribosomal RNA". It matches the Rfam family "Bacterial small subunit ribosomal RNA". Lineage: Eukaryota; Metazoa; Chordata; Mammalia; Chiroptera; Phyllostomidae. The record is from RNAcentral.